Molecule: ribosomal RNA, 526 nt
Filed under: uncultured bacterium
Lineage: Bacteria
Description: bacterial SSU rRNA
Rfam family: Bacterial small subunit ribosomal RNA
Source: RNAcentral
UAGUCCACGCCGUAAACGAUGAGUACUAGUUAUUGGAGGUAUUGACUCCUUCAGUGACGUAGCUAACGCAUUAAGUACUCCGCCUGGGAAGUACGGUCGCAAGACUAAAACUCAAAGGAAUUGACGGGGGCCCGCACAAGCGGUGGAUUAUGUGGUUUAAUUCGAAGCAACGCGCAGAACCUUACCUAGGCUUGAAAUCCUACGAAUCCGAUGUAAUUGUUGGAGUGCCCGCAAGGGAAUGUAGUGACAGGUGCUGCAUGGCUGUCGUCAGCUCGUGUUGUGAAAUGUUGGGUUAAGUCUCGCAACGAGCGCAACCCCUAUCUUUAGUUGCCAGCAUUAAGUUGGGCACGUCUAGAGAGACUGCCCGGGUUAACCGGGAGGAAGGUGGGGAUGACGUCAAGUCCUCAUGGGCCCUUAUGCCUAGGGGCUACACACGUAAUACAAUGGGUACAUACAGAGGGACGCGACCCGGGUGACGGUUAGCAAAUCUCAAAAAGUGUAUCUCAGUCCGGGAUUGGGAGUCUGC